AGAGUACGUGAAACCGCUUAGAGGUAAACGGGUGGAUCCGCAAAGUCGGCCCGGGGAAUUCAACUUGCCGUUCGGACGGCGUACGUUGGGUCAGGGAUCCGUAAGGACCCGCCUGGCGUUCGGCUGUGGUCGGCGAGUGCACUUUCCUCGGGUAUAGCGCCACGACCGGUUUCGGGGCAGUCAGAAGCCAGUCGGGAAGGUAGCCUGCCCUUCGGGGGAGGUGUUAUAGCCCGGCCAGGUCGGCUCGUCUCGAGACCGAGGAUUUGCCGCGUCUCAUUGCCCACGGCUCUCUUCCUGCGUUCGACUGGGGAAGCACUGCUUGCAGUUCUCCCCGACCGCGUGGGUCGAUUCGGUCGUGAAGCACGAGGCGCUUCGGGUCAGUGGCGAAUCGGUCGGUCCUCCACCCGAC
RNAcentral lists this ribosomal RNA (409 nucleotides) under Modiolus modiolus (northern horsemussel). RNAcentral's name for it is "partial 28S ribosomal RNA". The record is from RNAcentral. Lineage: Eukaryota; Metazoa; Mollusca; Bivalvia; Mytilida; Modiolidae.